This is a long non-coding RNA of Cyprinus carpio (common carp), 1230 nucleotides long. Lineage: Eukaryota; Metazoa; Chordata; Actinopteri; Cypriniformes; Cyprinidae. The record is from Ensembl.
GAAACUAAUCCAGUAUUUUCUAAUGAUAUUACCAAGGGGCAACAUGUAUAUUGAAAAUAUCAGAGGACCUAGGACAGAUCCUUGUGGCACUCCAUAUUUUACUGGUGAUAAAUGAGAUGACUCCCCAUUUAAAUAAACAAGGAUGAUAGGGGUGUUUCAGCGCCGCCCACACAUUCAAAACAAAUAUUAAAUCAUAAUCUCAUUUUUUAAGUAAAACGAAAAAAUAAAAGAAAAAAAACAUUCCUCAUUUCUCUUUAAUUCUUUUUAAGUAGAAAAUCAACUGACCAAAAGAUACACGGAACCUCUAAUCUGUUCAGUAUUUAAUUCUGCAUUUGAACUACUGCAGACAUAAUUCAUAAUUUGUUUUUCUGUUUUAUUUGUUUUUCUAGCUUGUUUUGGAUGAGAAAUUCACACCAGGCUGUCCAACAGUGCUUUUCAAAUCUGAUGAUGAGCGAGCAGUGUUUCCCAGAAUGCACCUUGAUCCAGUAAAUUUCAAAUAUAUCUACACUGCUCUGAAGAAACAGGUUAGAAGAGUGUCUGUGGUUUCGUGUGCUAAAUACAUCACUCUGAAAGACUGCAGAGCUGCUCUGAUCCUCUCUGUUGCUGGUGCGUGAACAUACAGAGGUCAGCCUGCCUUUAUUAUGUGUGAUUCAUUUUUCACACAUGAGAUCUGCUCUAGGCUGCAUCUGCACUAAAUAUGCCUAACUAUAGAACAGCAUGUUAACUUAUAUCAUCUGCAGUACAUAGACAAGAUGAGCAGUGUGCAAACAGUUCUGAAGUGAUAUACUGACUGAUCCUGUUUUUAUCUAGAUGUUCUACUCAAGAUGAAUGUUCAGAUACUUCAUGGGUGUCCAUCCCAAAAAACUCUCUUCAGACACGGCUGUUUUCUUUUCAGAUAGCAGAGAAUUCUUUUAGAAAGGUACUGUAGACAUCAAUAUCAAGUAUUUUCAUAAUUAUCAUUUAGAAAAUGUUUACUACUACUCUACUCUUUACCAGCCAUUGCCUCUCCAACACAGGUUACUCUACAUCUUUCAUUGAGUCUGAAGAGCACAGGAAAUCCUGCCUUCUCAUGUACCUUCACUAAAGGAAGUGUAAACUUGUGUGACGUGUCUGAUCCACCUGCAGUUCUCCCAAACUGCUCCUGUAGUUUUCCUGAUCAGAUUCUAUACACAAAAGGUUGGUUCUCCUUUAAAGAAGUCAUAUAUGUGCUAUUAUACAAUUAAUUUAUGU